UACGGGGGGAGCAAGCGUUGUUCGGAUUUACUGGGCGUAAAGGGCGCGUAGGCGGCCACCGCAAGUCGGUUGUGAAAUCUCCGGGCUUAACCCGGAAAGGUCAAUCGAUACUGCGGGGCUAGAGUGCAGAAGGGGCAACUGGAAUUCUCGGUGUAGCAGUGAAAUGCGUAGAUAUCGAGAGGAACACCUGCGGCGAAGGCGGGUUGCUGGGCUGACACUGACACUGAAGUGCGAAAGCUAGGGGAGCGAAAGGG
RNAcentral lists this ribosomal RNA (254 nucleotides) under uncultured Acidobacteriota bacterium. RNAcentral's name for it is "uncultured Acidobacteria bacterium partial 16S ribosomal RNA". It matches the Rfam family "Bacterial small subunit ribosomal RNA", at positions 524 to 776 of the family's 1533-position model. Lineage: Bacteria; Pseudomonadati; Acidobacteriota. The record is from RNAcentral.